Molecule: ribosomal RNA, 616 nt
Filed under: uncultured Legionella sp.
Lineage: Bacteria; Pseudomonadati; Pseudomonadota; Gammaproteobacteria; Legionellales; Legionellaceae
Description: bacterial SSU rRNA
Rfam family: Bacterial small subunit ribosomal RNA
Source: RNAcentral
UAGCUAGUUGGUGGGGUAAGGGCCUACCAAGGCGACGAUCGGUAGCUGGCCUGAGAGGAUGGCCAGCCACACUGGAACUGAGACACGGUCCAGACUCCUACGGGAGGCAGCAGUGGGGAAUAUUGGACAAUGGGGGCAACCCUGAUCCAGCAAUGCCGCGUGUGUGAAGAAGGCCUGAGGGUUGUAAAGCACUUUCAGUGGGGAGGAGGGUUGAUAGGUUAAGAGCUAAUUAACUGGACGUUACCCACAGAAGAAGCACCGGCUAACUCCGUGCCAGCAGCCGCGGUAAUACGGAGGGUGCGAGCGUUAAUCGGAAUUACUGGGCGUAAAGGGUGCGUAGGUGGUUGAUUAAGUUAUCUGUGAAAUUCCUGGGCUUAACCUGGGACGGUCAGAUAAUACUGGUUGACUCGAGUAUGGGAGAGGGUAGUGGAAUUUCCGGUGUAGCGGUGAAAUGCGUAGAGAUCGGAAGGAACACCAGUGGCGAAGGCGGCUACCUGGCCUAAUACUGACACUGAGGCACGAAAGCGUGGGGAGCAAACAGGAUUAGAUACCCUGGUAGUCCACGCUGUAAACGAUGUCAACUAGCUGUUGGUUAUAUGAAAAUAAUUAGUGGCGC